UUACGAUCAGUGUGAGCGACGGAGACGCCCGAAACGCAAGAGACUGACUCCCAUCCGAAUUAAUAGAUUCACAGUGAACUCACCACAGUCAGACGGUUUCAGUCUUUCGAAGCGAGCGGUUCUUUUAACUUAUCGCUUUUAUACACAACGUGCGCGUGGAUUUUUACAUACACAGUACAACACACUUAGUACAUUCUUCUAGUUUGUUAAUACCCGUUCUUCUAUCACCGUUAUCGGAAUUUAAUAGUCACCAAUCGCUAAUAUUUAGCCACUUUGUUGUUAAUAAUUAACAGUGAAUAUUAUAAAAUAAAUAUUAAUAUAGUGCGGUGAUUUAAUAAAACUGUGGUGAAGGUACUUACACCCUAUUUGUUUUAAAAUAAGUGAAAGUGCCAAAACUGUAGUGCAUUGACACAAAUCAAGAUCCCUUAAGCCGCUUCACCGAGUGACAUGUUCGCGAAAAAUAUUAUAUUUUCGUGUUUUUACUUAAUGUGCGCUACCAGUGACUUGUUAUCGUGUUGAUAAAUGUGCUACCAUCACUAAUAACCCCAGAAAAUCACCAAAAAACAGACCAACUUAUCGCCCAAUGAGUUAACGGGCCUGACAAUCCAAAACCAUAUUACCAUUUAGAGUGAAGUGGACCAAGUUAAAAUCGUUUAUCGUAAUUAACAAGCCAGCAAGCUGUACGGACACAGAGAAGAGGAUAUGUUGACUAUGGACGCGGAUUUAAAAGGUGGCAAUCUCCACGGGCAGAUACCGCCACAUCCACACCAAGGAGUCUCGCCAAUGAGCCACCACGCGAGCAUGUCUCCGUACGGGUCCUUGGGGCCGAUAGUCCACAGCCAGGCCCUUUCUUCAGGAAGUCCACCAAACUCAGCGGCCCUGAGUGCCUUAACUCUGCAUCACCACCAGCAGCAACAACACUUUGCGUCAAUGCAGGCGAUGCAGCAGCAGCAACAACAGCAACAGCAGCAGACGAUGCAUUCCCUGGCCCAGCACUCGCACCAGCAGGCGCAGCAGCCGCCCCAACCGGCCCAGCAGCAGCACCAGCCGACUAACAACAACAACAACAACAACAGCAAAAACAACAACGUCGACCGGGUGAAGCGCCCGAUGAACGCCUUCAUGGUCUGGUCCCGUGGACAGCGUCGCAAGAUGGCCCAGGAGAAUCCCAAGAUGCACAAUUCUGAGAUCUCCAAGCGGCUGGGAGCCGAGUGGAAGAUGCUGAGCGAGGCGGAGAAGCGGCCGUUCAUCGACGAGGCCAAGAGGCUCCGGGCUGUCCACAUGAAGGAACACCCGGACUACAAGUACCGGCCCAGAAGGAAAACAAAGACCCUUCUCAAAAAGGACAAGUACCCGAUGGCGAACACCAACGCAGGUCUCAUCAACAUGGACCCCAGGCAGGUCAACCCUUCAAAUCCGGCCCAGCAGUCUCAAAUUCCGAGGGACAUCUACAACGGGUACAUGCCCAAUGGGUACGUGAUGCACGAUGGCUCUGCCUAUCCGCAGCAUCCCUACGCUGGACACCUGGCCGGGUACCAGAGGUACGAAAUUCCUCCCCACAUGGCCGGCGGCAACUCCAGUCCUUUGAACAGCUACGUUAACGGAUAUGCCAACUACGGAGGCGCCAUUCCUGCAGGCUCGCCCUCUCCUUACCACUCGGCCCAACCUGGCUCCCAGAUGUCCAGCCACAGUCCCAGCGGGAGCAGCAUCAAGUCCGAGCCGACGAGUCCUGCCAGUGCGGGAAUCCACACUCCGACGCCGAUCAGCUCUGCACCUGGGUCUCAGGUUAAAAGAGAGUAUCUCGCUCAGCAGAAUCCUACUCAGGGUGGUGACAUCAGCCAAAUGAUCAGCAUGUACUUGCCUCCCAAUAAUCAGGCUGAACAGCGAAUUCAGCACAAUCCUGGAGGAGUUUACUCGCCCGGACCUGGGCCAUCGCCGGACUCUUUGAUAUCGCACCACACCGGAAUGCCAGUUUCACUCAAUCACCACCACAUGUCGGAGAGCGAUCGAAAAAUGUUGAAUCCUGAGACUGGCUGUUAUUCGGAUUCCGUUCGAGCCUGGGACUGGAAUGCGUCAAGCAACGGUCGCGUCCAAGAGUCUUGGCCCACGUGAGCGAUUCACGCGCAGCCCGAACCCCUAAGGCAACCAGGCCGGCGGAUCGCAACCCCCGACUGUCGCGUGCAUCACGGUACGAGUACACCGAGAAAUGUGUUCGGCAAUACCCAGAGUCACGAUCAUCGUCACCCUGAACCAAUAACUCGUGGCACCAAGAUGACCUUUGAAAACUGCCUACAAAUUACUGCACCAUGUCGAUCCUCAUUUCCAUUUGAUUUAAAUUUAUUAUUAUUAUUAUUAAUAAUUACGUGGUUAAUUGUAAUUGUUCUAAUGUAUCAUAUUACUAGACCACGUUUAACUGUAAAAAUAAAUCCUUCACUCACCGAAGACUCGAAAAGCGACAUGAAACGUCGUUCAAUUACUAAAAAUAAUUACAUAAUAACUAUCACUGUAUCAUAUUAAUAUUUAAGCAUUCGUUGAUAUUUCCAAUCGUUAAAUUUCGUAGAAUUUUGAAUUACUAUUAUUACAUAUAAAUAUAAAUGUAAUUAUAAAUAUUAUAAAUAAAGUAAUUAUAAAUUAUAAAUAAAUAUAUACUGUAAGAGUAAGUAUAUUUAUGUCAUGUGAUAUGUGAGUGUGGUGUGUGAGUUUAAUAAAUGGUCAAGACGCGCUGUAUAACUUCCGGAAUUUUUCCUUCUCUUAAUUAACUAAAGGGGAAAAUCUCUUUAGAAAUUUAUAAAGAAAAUUGAAGGUACUUUUUUUUAUAUUUUUAGAAAAUAUAAAAUAGAAAUGUUAAUUAUUUAUAGAGCCCUAAUUAUUUAUCGUAUGAAACUUUAAACGCGAUUAUAAAAUAGUACAAAAUUUGACCUUUUUUUUUAACGGGCUUAUGUAAUUUUUAAUUUUAUACUUUCUUAUGAUUUUUAAGGUUUAUUCUUCCCGUAAAUAUCUCAGAUAUGAAACAAUUUUUUUUUUCAUUUUAAAUCAAUAAAAAAAGAGUAACAAGUGCAGCACUUUUAAGGCGAGGUUUCA
This is an RNA transcript of Cotesia glomerata, 3081 nucleotides long. It is a transcript of the gene named transcription factor Sox-2-like, with no coding region annotated. Lineage: Eukaryota; Metazoa; Arthropoda; Insecta; Hymenoptera; Braconidae. The record is from RefSeq and is a predicted model, not a curated record. The transcript is spliced from 4 exons.